UGCUGUAUUCUCAGGGGUGAGCCUCAGGAUCAAAGAGAAAGCCUUCACCUGUCAAGCCAAUCGGAAGUGGAGGAAUCUUAAAGCUCUAUAGUUGUACGACGCAAGAAACAAGAAAUCAAUGACAAUCUGCACAAGAGGGGUCAAAGGGACAAGACUCACUGCAGUGAGUCAACGAAACGGUCUUAAAAACUGUGCGGUUAUGUGUUUUUACUGCACUGUGCUUUUAAUGCAUUGGUCACUCCAUACACACCCGUGUGCAAAAAUUUGUUAAAAUUAAUCUUUCGACCUCGUCUACUGUUACGGAUUCACCUCAGGCUACGAGCCAGCUGCUGGACCAACAUCUGUCAUCUCAGUGGUAAGGAGUUCCACUGUGUCACACCAGGCCUGAAAGUCACACCGGAAAGAGAGGAAGCCGGCAGAGUUGACGGCAGGUCGGGGGGCCUAGGUGCAGUGUCACCGACGAUAUAAACAACCGCACACACAUGGCAACUACACCUGCGACGGGGUUCAAAGGAUUGUGGGACACUGGACAUCCGGAAAUCUCGCAGAGUUGAAAUCUUGGCAUGUCACGCCGCCCAGCCAUCCAGGACACACUUUAGCUCAGCAAGGGAGCCCGCGCCCCACCUCAUCUCUCAUGCUGUAAGUAGAGGGUCGACUCCGCCAAAAGACAGUGGGAUGCUAAUUCAUAGCUCUGCUCUUUCUGGGCCUAAAGCUGCAAUUACAUGCUUAUUACUGCCUGUCCUUUCAAUCGUUUGUGUGUUCUCACAGACAGUAAAGGGUGUUAUUCUUCCCAUAAUCCCCCCCCCCAAAAAGUUUCCAACCUUUGCCAAGAAGGUUUUUAAUUUGUUUUUUUUUCUCGUUUAUUUGUUUCUUUUUUUUUCUUUGUUAGCAUUUUAUUAUUGAAAUGGUGGUGUAAUGUUAAGAUUAGAGGCAAAGGAUUUUUUUUUACAUAGAUUAUAAUGUCAGUGUUCAACUCAGCCCUACUCUGGUUUAAAGGGACUUGUCUUGAAAUAUCUCUAUGAUGUCUACAGGAUGGAUCCUAAUAACUUUGGAAGUCACCUGACCUUUUUAUCUAUUUCAACCAACUCAUCAAAAUUGUUGAUGGUCACGUAAUUUUGCGCAUUUAGGACAUUCGUGACACCCGACGACCACAAAGGUUGUUUCUUCAAGCAGCUCAUCAGACCUAUGUGGUCGUUUUAAAGGGGCAGUAAGCAAUUUUGGAGAAAGAUUGUUUUUUGUUCAUUGCACUGGCUGCACUGGUUGAGCCUCAAACCCGCAGUAUAAGGUGUGGGAGACUUUGUGAAAAUGUAUUCUGUAAAGUAAUCGUGAUGAUUCUCUGCCAUGUCACCCUAAUCCUAACAUAACCCUUGCCUUAUGAAAAUUAUUUGUGGCAUACCUCCUGUCACCGGAAGAAGAGCUAAUUUAGGAAACGGUCGAUUUGGUUGUAUUAGAACACAUAUGACAUUUGGCGUAUGAGUUGGAGGACUUUUUGACAUUUAUCGUUUCCACGUGAUAUAUCCCACUGACUUGUGAGGUCAUAACUAUUAUUUACUACAAUCAUUAGACACAACUUCCCAGCUUUUGUUUUUUUUUAAUGCGCUGCAAGUGUCAUGACAAUUUGAACCAUUUCCUGUGCACAUUUAUGAUGCUCCUGUGUGGCCGUGUGUGCCAGAGUUUCCUCUGUUUGUUGUGGUCUUAAUGCCAUGCUGCUGUCUGAAUUUAGCAGCAGUUUGUUGUGGAGUUAGAGUAAAAUAUUCCCAAAUUGGACAGAUGGGUGCAGACCAUCCUCUUUUAUUUAUAUUUUUUGAAAAGUGUAGGCCUAAAAUGUACAUCAAGCUAAUAAUCUUCGUAUUCCGAGAUUUACGACAAUUGGAAUCUGCCAUGCUGUGUCAGUGUAAAUUACGGGGGAAAACAAAACAAAAACUAAGACUAAGCGGAUUUUUGCUGCAUUUCAAUUUCAUUUUUGUCUGUGUUGCAUUGUUCAUUGUAGUUUUUAUUUUGUUUUAAUUACUAUUUUAAAUGAAAAAAUGUUCUCACCAGUAAUUUCACUUUUAGUUUUAGGUUCCAUUAACUAUAAUAACCCUGUUUUUGUGUACACGUGCAUAUGAAUGAAAAGAGCAAGAGAGAGAGAGAGCGAGAGAGAGAGAAGAAGUGCAUAUACACAACUGUUUAUUUUGGCUCUCCAACAAAAUAUGUCCCUACCAAAGAAACAAUAAAUCCUAAACCGUUUGGCUACUAUAUCACCUGAAAUGCUUGACAAUACUAUUACCUACUACUAUAUGUAUUUAAAUGUAUUUCAAAGAUCUUAACAUUUCUAUAUAUGUAGACAACUAAUUAAACUGGUGGGGGAAAAAAACACUAACCCUGGAAACUUAACAAAAAUUUCAGUUUCAUUUUGUCACUUUUAUGAGAUAUCCACCUUCUUCAGUGGAUAAUGUUACAUGAGAUGUUCACAGCAUUAAAAGAAAAAAAAAUUAAUCAAUAUUUGUUCCUUUCUCUAUGACACACAGUAUUUGUUGUUUGACUUUACAACUCCAGCCUUCCAAAUGACAGGAGAAUCUAAAGUUUACAGCCAGGGUGGUUUAGUUGCCGUCGUGACAUCAAUUCACAUAGACGGGCCGUUUAUAACGGGGAUCCUACAGGGUUUUAUACACCUUGAUUACAAGGGAUAUUCACAUUGAAAUGUGGCCAGUAAACGCAGGCUAGGUCUGGAGUGUAUACCGAUGCUAUCAGAUAAAAGCCAUGCCACGUCUAUAGUUCAUAUAUAAAUAAAGGGUCAGCAUUAUCAGCGAUGCGAAAAAAUCUGUUUUGAAAUACAUGUAAUGACUGUUUUCAUCAUGUACCCUAACUUAUUCCGAGAUAAGGUUUAGUUUAAACUUCCAAGAAUAGUGCCAGUGAUGUUGUCUUAGUAAAUCUUUAGUUUAUUAUACAAUUAGUCCAUAGCCUGAUAAAAACAGUGAGUUUCCCUUGGCUGGCAAAGUAACUGUCGGUGUUCCUGCCACACCGCAACCUUUAUGAUAAUACCUCCGCUCUCUUUCCACUACUGACAACACACACACACACACACACACACACACACACACACACACACACACACACACACACACACACACACACACACACACACACACACACACACACACACACACACACACACACACACACACACACACACACACACACACACACACACACACACACACACACAAUAGUGUUUGUGCCUCUGAUAAGACAUCAGAGAGAGUUUUUGUUAAUUGUUUCGCUGAAUUCCUGGCAGAGAGGAAGUGCUUCCAUAACUGCAGCCCAGAUGCCAGAGGUCAGAUGGCACCAAAAAAAGAGAGAAAAAGGAUCACAGGCAGAUGAUCCGCAGCCAAAAACAACAGCGGCUCUGUUGCCAAAGAGAAACAAUAAGCACAGUUUCCAUUAGAUGCCCCCGCUGCUGCCAUCACUCAUGAUAUGCUGGGAGUUCCAUUACAUUAGUCGGUGUUGUAGCUGCGAGAAACAACGGAGCGGCUGUUUUAGAAGAUGCUUAGCAUGCGCAAUGUGUUGCAGCCUGGCUUGAAGUUGCUGUUCUGUAGAAGAACAUCAAAGCGACAAGUCUGUUUCUGUUGUUUAUUUUAAUGAAGACUCUUUACUUUAAGUGACAAAUGACUGACAUUAAAUUAAAAUGUAACUUUAACAUAAGAAAAAAGAUAAGGCUUUGCUGUGAUGGAUCAUUCUGCUUUUUGUCCACACACUGCAGUAAAAGAAUGAAUGGAAAUAAAUGCAUCUUUGUGUGUGUGGAAAUAUGCAGCAGGGGUAUGAAAUAACUAUUGAUGUGAAAGUUUAACUGGUUUGUUAUGAAAAAUAUGUAUCUAUUCAUUUUUUAUGAAUAUUCCGAAACAUCCUGCAGUUAAAGUAGAAUAGAACUAGUCUUCAUUGUCAUUUCACCCAGGUACAAUUACAUUUUUUCGCAUAACAUCUUUCCUAUGUGGGUUAGAGUAGGAAAAUAAAAUAUGAGAUGAUAAAAAAAACAAGCAGCACCAGCAGUAGUAUUAGCAUUGGGUUUUCAAAAAACUUGUCUUAGUACAACUUUAAAAUAAAAUACUUUUGUUGAAAUAGAUUUUACAUAUUUACAGAAGAUGAAUUAUUAAACUGAAGGAAAAGGUAAAUAGAUGCCAAAUUAUUAUGUUUAUGAAUUAUGUCCUUGGUAACAAGUACCAGGGGGUGGAGGAGGGUGUGUGUGUGUGUGUGUGUGGGGGGGGGGGU
Long non-coding RNA from Scophthalmus maximus (turbot), 4248 nucleotides. RefSeq lists it as uncharacterized. Lineage: Eukaryota; Metazoa; Chordata; Actinopteri; Pleuronectiformes; Scophthalmidae. The transcript has 3 exons. The record is from RefSeq and is a predicted model, not a curated record.